GACGAACGCUGGCGGCGUGCCUAAUACAUGCAAGUAGAACGCUGAAGAGAGGAGCUUGCUCUUCUUGGAUGAGUUGCGAACGGGUGAGUAACGCGUAGGUAACCUGCCUUGUAGCGGGGGAUAACUAUUGGAAACGAUAGCUAAUACCGCAUAACAAUGGAUGACACAUGUCAUUUAUUUGAAAGGGGCAAUUGCUCCACUACAAGAUGGACCUGCGUUGUAUUAGCUAGUAGGUGAGGUAAUGGCUCACCUAGGCGACGAUACAUAGCCGACCUGAGAGGGUGAUCGGCCACACUGGGACUGAGACACGGCCCAGACUCCUACGGGAGGCAGCAGUAGGGAAUCUUCGGCAAUGGGGGCAACCCUGACCGAGCAACGCCGCGGGAGUGAAGAAGGGUUUCGGAUCGUAAAGCUCUGUUGUAAGUCAAGAACGGGUGUGAGAGUGGAAAGUUCACACUGUGACGGUAGCUUACCAGAAAGAGACGGCUAACUACGUG
This 497-nucleotide ribosomal RNA is filed under the name uncultured bacterium. RNAcentral's name for it is "partial 16S ribosomal RNA". It matches the Rfam family "Bacterial small subunit ribosomal RNA", at positions 28 to 507 of the family's 1533-position model. The record is from RNAcentral.